This 2349-nucleotide ribosomal RNA is filed under the name Klebsiella pneumoniae. Its description in RNAcentral is "partial 23S ribosomal RNA". The record is from RNAcentral. Lineage: Bacteria; Pseudomonadati; Pseudomonadota; Gammaproteobacteria; Enterobacterales; Enterobacteriaceae.
UUAAGCGACUAAGCGUACACGGUGGAUGCCCUGGCAGUCAGAGGCGAUGAAGGACGUGCUAAUCUGCGAAAAGCGUCGGUAAGGUGAUAUGAACCGUUAUAACCGGCGAUGUCCGAAUGGGGAAACCCAGUGUGAUUCGUCACACUAUCGUUAACUGAAUACAUAGGUUAACGAGGCGAACCGGGGGAACUGAAACAUCUAAGUACCCCGAGGAAAAGAAAUCAACCGAGAUUCCCCCAGUAGCGGCGAGCGAACGGGGAGCAGCCCAGAGUCUGAAUCAGCUUGUGUGUUAGUGGAACGGUCUGGAAAGUCCGACGGUACAGGGUGAUAGUCCCGUACACCAAAAUGCACAGGYUGUGAACUCGAAGAGUAGGGCGGGACACGUGGUAUCCUGUCUGAAUAUGGGGGGACCAUCCUCCAAGGCUAAAUACUCCUGACUGACCGAUAGUGAACCAGUACCGUGAGGGAAAGGCGAAAAGAACCCCGGCGAGGGGAGUGAAAAAGAACCUGAAACCGUGUACGUACAAGCAGUGGGAGCACCUUCGGGUGUGACUGCGUACCUUUUGUAUAAUGGGUCAGCGACUUAUAUUCUGUAGCAAGGUUAACCGUAUAGGGGAGCCGCAGGGAAACCGAGUCUUAACUGGGCGUUAAGUUGCAGGGUAUAGACCCGAAACCCGGUGAUCUAGCCAUGGGCAGGUUGAAGGUUGGGUAACACUAACUGGAGGACCGAACCGACUAAUGUUGAAAAAUUAGCGGAUGACUUGUGGCUGGGGGUGAAAGGCCAAUCAAACCGGGAGAUAGCUGGUUCUCCCCGAAAGCUAUUUAGGUAGCGCCUCGUGAAUUCAUCUUCGGGGGUAGAGCACUGUUUCGGCUAGGGGGUCAUCCCGACUUACCAACCCGAUGCAAACUACGAAUACCGAAGAAUGUUAUCACGGGAGACACACGGCGGGUGCUAACGUCCGUCGUGAAGAGGGAAACAACCCAGACCGCCAGCUAAGGUCCCAAAGUCAUGGUUAAGUGGGAAACGAUGUGGGAAGGCACAGACAGCCAGGAUGUUGGCUUAGAAGCAGCCAUCAUUUAAAGAAAGCGUAAUAGCUCACUGGUCGAGUCGGCCUGCGCGGAAGAUGUAACGGGGCUAAACCAUGCACCGAAGCUGCGGCAGCGACACUAUGUGUUGUUGGGUAGGGGAGCGUUCUGUAAGCCUGCGAAGGUGUGCUGUGAGGCAUGCUGGAGGUAUCAGAAGUGCGAAUGCUGACAUAAGUAACGAUAAAGCGGGUGAAAAGCCCGCUCGCCGGAAGACCAAGGGUUCCUGUCCAACGUUAAUCGGGGCAGGGUGAGUCGACCCCUAAGGCGAGGCCGAAAGGCGUAGUCGAUGGGAAACAGGUUAAUAUUCCUGUACUUGGUGUUACUGCGAAGGGGGGACGGAGAAGGCUAUGUUAGCCGGGCGACGGUUGUCCCGGUUUAAGCAUGUAGGCUGGUURUCCAGGCAAAUCCGGAUAAUCAAGGCUGAGGUGUGAUGACGAGGCACUACGGUGCUGAAGUAACAAAUGCCCUGCUUCCAGGAAAAGCCUCUAAGCAUCAGGUAACAUCAAAUCGUACCCCAAACCGACACAGGUGGUCAGGUAGAGAAUACCAAGGCGCUUGAGAGAACUCGGGUGAAGGAACUAGGCAAAAUGGUGCCGUAACUUCGGGAGAAGGCACGCUGGUGUGUAGGUGAAGUCCCUGCGGAUGGAGCUGAGACCAGUCGAAGAUACCAGCUGGCUGCAACUGUUUAUUAAAAACACAGCACUGUGCAAACACGAAAGUGGACGUAUACGGUGUGACGCCUGCCCGGUGCCGGAAGGUUAAUUGAUGGGGUUAUCCGUAAGGAGAAGCUCUUGAUCGAAGCCCCGGUAAACGGCGGCCGUAACUAUAACGGUCCUAAGGUAGCGAAAUUCCUUGUCGGGUAAGUUCCGACCUGCACGAAUGGCGUAAUGAUGGCCAGGCUGUCUCCACCCGAGACUCAGUGAAAUUGAACUCGCUGUGAAGAUGCAGUGUACCCGCGGCAAGACGGAAAGACCCCGUGAACCUUUACUAUAGCUUGACACUGAACAUUGAGCCUUGAUGUGUAGGAUAGGUGGGAGGCUUUGAAGCGUGGACGCCAGUCUGCGUGGAGCCAACCUUGAAAUACCACCCUUUAAUGUUUGAUGUUCUAACGUUGGCCCCUKACCGGGGUUGCGGACAGUGUCUGGUGGGUAGUUUGACUGGGGCGGUCUCCUCCCAAAGCGUAACGGAGGAGCACGAAGGUUAGCUAAUCCUGGUCGGACAUCAGGAGGUUAGUGCAAUGGCAUAAGCUAGCUUGACUGCGAG